GUCAGACCUGGACAUGCAGACAUUGUAGUGAUAUCUCUGGGCAAACAAAUUCUGUAUCAAAUUAAAAAAUGUGCUGCUUUUAAUUUAGUGAUUUUAGUAAUUCCUUUUCUUUAAUUGAAUGGGAAUUUCUCGUGUAGAUCACACCUUAGAUUAGAUGUAUCCACACGUUAAGCUUUUAUUGCAAUAGGAAGUGUCCUUUCUGUUGCUAUAAAAAUGAAGAUGAUAUAAUUGUGUGCUUUGGCGAGAAUGUGGCGAUUCUGUUAGAAGGAGUUCCAUUGACUUGAC
Non-coding RNA from Pelobates cultripes (western spadefoot toad), 285 nucleotides. NCBI's taxonomy places the organism in Eukaryota, Metazoa, Chordata, Amphibia, Anura, Pelobatidae. The record is from the annotation of a GenBank genome assembly.